This 462-nucleotide ribosomal RNA is filed under the name uncultured bacterium. RNAcentral describes it as "partial 16S ribosomal RNA". It matches the Rfam family "Bacterial small subunit ribosomal RNA", at positions 29 to 507 of the family's 1533-position model. The record is from RNAcentral.
AGUGAACGCUGGCGGCGUGCCUAAUACAUGCAAGUCGAACGGAGAUUAAGUAGCUUGCUAUUUAAUCUUAGUGGCGCACGGGUGAGUAAUAUAUAGCUAACUUGCCCAUUACUAAGGGACAACAGUUGGAAACGACUGCUAAUACCUUAUACUCCGUAUCUAUAUAAGUAGAUACGGGAAAGUUUUUCGUUAAUGGAUAGGGCUAUAUCGUAUCAGCUAGUUGGUAAGGUAAUGGCUUACCAAGGCUAUGACGCGUAACUGGUCUGAGAGGAUGAUCAGUCACACUGGAACUGAGACACGGUCCAGACUCCUACGGGAGGCAGCAGUAGGGAAUAUUGCUCAAUGGGGGAAACCCUGAAGCAGCAACGGCGCGUGGAGGAUGACACUUUUCGGAGCGUAAACUCCUUUUCUUGGGAAAGAAUUAUGACGGUACCCAAGGAAUAAGCACCGGCUAACUCCGUG